GCACGUCAGGGAACAGAUGUUGAGAUGCCUGAAAACAUCCAGUUUCCCCUGGAACAACUGGAGGAAGUGGAGGCAUCUGAGAUGUUUCUAAAGGAACCGUCAAAGGCCCAACUCCACAGAGAUUGAUUUCUUCUUUGGGCACCACUGGAGGACCAGGAUGUGAAGAGGGUGACCCGGUGCAUUCUGGGCCGGCUCUUCACAGAUGAGGUGUGUCAUCAGAUCAACUGAAGGGGUUAAUAACAAAAAGCCCUUCAGUAGGAUGGCAACCAAGACCUUGCUUUUCAAUUCCAGGUGCUGUGAGGAAAAACACUGACCCGGUCAGCCACGGAUGCAGAGGUCUCCAAGCACACAAUCAGGUGUUCAACCUGGCAGCCAGGCACGUGCACAGGGAAAGUGUAGUGAGUAAGAGACCUUCAAGAGACCAACAUCCCUGGUCCACCACAGUAUCAAAUUUUUGCCAGGUAGGCGGAUGCAUGUUGGAUAUGUUAUAGUAACGGUAUGGCUAUAGUUUCUUAUAAUCUGGAAUUGAGUUGGACAUAAUUACUUAAAUUAUAUUUUAAAAAAGUUUGUCAAAAAUACUUGACUCAUUGCUCACCUUCCCCUCAUCUCAAUGUCAUUCAUAAUCAUGUUAACCAAAUAAUACAAAUUAGCUUAUAAAACCAUACAGAAUAGCCAAAAAAGUCAAUAUAUAUGUAAUUCUUUUCUUUGCAAAGUUAAUUAAAAAAAAGUGCAUAAAGUUCAAUAAAAAAAGAUUUUGGUUUCUGUUUGGUUUUAUAAGCUAAUUUGUAUGUUUAUGUAUGAGUCAAGUAUUUUUUUUCUCUAUAAAUGCAAUUUAAAAAAAGAGGGAGUACACAAGAGCAAUUCACAAACACAGGACCACAAAUAAUACGGACAAAAAAACUUACUAAAUAAUCUUGAUAUAAAAAAAGGGAGGGGGGUGCCCUUUUUCAGUUUCAGCACAUGCCCCUCAAAAGGUCUGUGCACGGCCCUGCUGGCAGCAGAUCUGGCAAGGAGGAGACGUGUCCCGCCUCCAUCCACACAAACAGAGGAAAAGAAAUGUUUAAACAAUAAACCAUCUUUUUAUUGAACCUCUUGUCUUUCACCAGUUAUUCAUUUUCUGAUGCUGUGCAGUGCAACAUUUCAUUGAAGUUGUGGUCUAAUAGAUCAAAUAUUUUUAUGUACCUAGGCCUACAGUAUAAAGCAUUAAAUUAGGUUCUGACCAUAAAAUGAAUGUAGAUUAGCCUAGCCAGGCUAGGCUACUUAACAAAUACUGAAUAGGCUAUAACCUAAAACUCCAUAAAUGCAAAUGUCAAUUUUAUAUUUUCAUUGAGUAGUGAUUCCUUUUGUACAGUAAAUGUAUGUCUUGGAUUGGAACUUUUCUGUUAGGCUUAUUUACAAUAUUUGGUUAAAAUUACAAGGCAAUGCAGAUUUAAGCUUAGGUCUAUAUUGCUGUAGUAGCCUAGGCUAGACAUAGUGAUAGUUUAUCUUACAAUUUAGUUUAUACUAUAUUAUCCUACAGCAAGAACAGAAGGGAUUUUGAAAAUGAGAUAAACGGACCCGGGCCAGAUGAGACAGUAUUUUUAGUCCAUUGCGGGUCCGUGGCGGAUAUAUAUUUCAAUUUGCGGGUCCCAAACGGACCCGCCGUGG
Long non-coding RNA from Carassius auratus (goldfish), 1647 nucleotides. NCBI's taxonomy places the organism in Eukaryota, Metazoa, Chordata, Actinopteri, Cypriniformes, Cyprinidae. The record is from Ensembl.